RNAcentral lists this transfer RNA (74 nucleotides) under Sedimentisphaerales bacterium. RNAcentral describes it as "tRNA-Arg". It matches the Rfam family "tRNA". Rfam says of the family: Transfer RNA (tRNA) molecules are approximately 80 nucleotides in length. The record is from RNAcentral. RNAcentral also lists the same sequence under 1 other name. Lineage: Bacteria; Pseudomonadati; Planctomycetota; Phycisphaerae; Sedimentisphaerales.
GCGUCUGUAGCUCAAUUGGAUAGAGCAUCAGUCUUCGGAACUGAGGGUUCGGGGUUCGAGUCCCUGCAGGCGCA